UGCAAUCGGUAUUCUUCCUCAAGCU
Molecule: non-coding RNA, 25 nt
Filed under: Mus musculus (house mouse)
Lineage: Eukaryota; Metazoa; Chordata; Mammalia; Rodentia; Muridae
Source: RNAcentral